Molecule: unclassified non-coding RNA, 220 nt
Filed under: plant metagenome
Description: partial contains 5.8S ribosomal RNA, internal transcribed spacer 2, and large subunit ribosomal RNA
Source: RNAcentral
CGACAGAACCCGUAGUGGUAGAAGUCGAUGCGCUUUAGCCCGCGUUCGCGCGCGAGGGCUACCUUCGCAACGAGGUUGUCGGCGGAUCGACAGUCGGGAGGCAUGGGGCGAAGCAUCAGGCCAAGCCGGGAGGUGUCCGCGAGCAGAGGCUGGUAAGCGUCGAGAUCGAAACUGAGCCGAUCUGGGUCGGACGCGUAUCCGGUCGCCUCUACCGUUUCGC